UAGUUUCUGUGUUGCAUGUGCUUUCAUUAGUCUCUGAGCCUAUGCUUAAAAAAAAAUAGGAGCAGAAGUCGUACUGAUGUUGAGCAUUCUCCAGAGUUUGAGAAAGCCUGAUUCAGUCGGGGACGUUCCAAUCUUGAACUUUCGGUUCGAGGUAAAUGUAUAGCACGGCAACAUGGAUCCUUA
This 183-nucleotide non-coding RNA is filed under the name Methylococcaceae bacterium TMED69. RNAcentral describes it as "6S RNA". It matches the Rfam family "6S / SsrS RNA". From Rfam's summary of the family: E. coli 6S RNA was the first non coding RNA to be sequenced, but its function was unknown until recently. It consists of 184 nucleotides that fold into an extended hairpin structure with a large single-stranded internal bulge. The record is from RNAcentral. Lineage: Bacteria; Pseudomonadati; Pseudomonadota; Gammaproteobacteria; Methylococcales; Methylococcaceae.